RNAcentral lists this ribosomal RNA (379 nucleotides) under uncultured cyanobacterium. Its description in RNAcentral is "bacterial SSU rRNA". It matches the Rfam family "Bacterial small subunit ribosomal RNA", at positions 376 to 770 of the family's 1533-position model. The record is from RNAcentral. Lineage: Bacteria; Bacillati; Cyanobacteriota.
CGAAAGCCUGACGGAGCAAGACCGCGUGAGGGAGGAAGGCUCUAGGGUUGUAAACCUCUUUUAUCAGGGAAGAAGCUCUGACGGUACCUGAGGAAUCAGCUUCGGCUAACUCCGUGCCAGCAGCCGCGGUAAUACGGAGGAUGCAAGCGUUAUCCGGAAUCAUUGGGCGUAAAGCGUCCGCAGGUGGGAGUUCAAGUCGAUUGUCAAAGGCAGUAGCUUAACUACUGAAAGGCAGUGGAAACUGAACAACUAGAGUGCGGUAGGGGUAGAGGGAAUUCCCGGUGUAGCGGUGAAAUGCGUAGAGAUCGGGAAGAACACCAGUGGCGAAAGCGCUCUGCUGGACCGGCACUGACACUGAGGGACGAAAGCUAGGGGAGCG